This 289-nucleotide ribosomal RNA is filed under the name Nanobdellota archaeon. Its description in RNAcentral is "partial 23S ribosomal RNA". It matches the Rfam family "Archaeal large subunit ribosomal RNA", at positions 2662 to 2960 of the family's 2987-position model. Lineage: Archaea; Nanobdellati; Nanobdellota. The record is from RNAcentral.
GGGGAUCGUGAGAUGGGUUCAGAACGCCGCGAGGCAGUUCGGUUAUAACUGUCGGAAGUGCUGGCUGCCUGAGGGGAAGGUCCGCCUAGUACGAAAGGAACGGCGGGCCGGGGCCUCUGGUGUACGGGCUGUCCGAGAAGGGCAUGCCCGGUAGCUACGCCCCAGGGGAUAAGCCCUGAAAGCAUCUAAGGGCGAAGCCCUCCUCAAAAAUAGGCAGCCGUUAAGGGGUCGGAUAAAAGAUCCGACUCAGAGCGGCGGUGUAAGCUCCGAAAAGGAGUUCAGCCGACCG